GUGCUCACUUUGGCAGCACGUAUACUAAAACUGGAACAAUACAGAGGAGAUGAACCUGCCCCCUGCAUAAGGAUGACAUGCAAAUCUGUGAAGCAUUCCAUAUUUUU
Molecule: small nuclear RNA, 107 nt
Organism: Chlorocebus sabaeus (green monkey)
Lineage: Eukaryota; Metazoa; Chordata; Mammalia; Primates; Cercopithecidae
Source: Ensembl